AGCGAACGCUGGCGGCAGGCCUAACACAUGCAGGUCGAGCGCCCCGCAAGGGGAGCGGCAGACGGGAGAGUAACACGUGGGAACAUGCCCUUCAGUACGGAACAACCAAGGGAAACUUUGGCUAAUACCGUAUACGCCCGUAAGGGGAAAGAUUUAUCGCUGAAGGAUUGGCCCGCGUCUGAUUAGCUAGUUGGUGGGGUAAUGGCCCACCAAGGCGACGAUCAGUAGCUGGUCUGAGAGGAUGAUCAGCCUCACUGGGACUGAGACACGGCCCAGACUCCUACGGGAGGCAGCAGUGGGGAAUAUUGGACAAUGGGCGCAAGCCUGAUCCAGCCAUGCCGCGUGAGUGAUGAAGGCCUUAGGGUUGUAAAGCUCUUUCGUCAGGGAAGAUAAUGGCGGUACCUGAAGAAGAAGCCCCGGCUAACUUCGUGCCAGCAGCCGCGGUAA
RNAcentral lists this ribosomal RNA (447 nucleotides) under uncultured bacterium. RNAcentral's name for it is "partial 16S ribosomal RNA". It matches the Rfam family "Bacterial small subunit ribosomal RNA", at positions 29 to 523 of the family's 1533-position model. The record is from RNAcentral.